AUGCUUCGAGUUCUUCUCCGUUGUGGAAGGAAGAGCUCCCAUUGGUCUCUCACUCAAAUUGAUUUUGAUACCCUUGAGCUAGUGAAGAGAUGUUUUGCUUGGUCUCCACAUUGGUAGAAGUUUGAACCUUGAGGAACUCACCCAUCAAUUCUUCAAAAUUAGGCUUCUUUGGUUCACUUGGAGCUUGAAUCGGCAUGCCUUGAAGAAUAGGUGGGGAAUUGUAGCUCUCGCCUUGAUUUGGACCUUGAAAUGAGCUAGAAUUGCCUUGAAACUUGCUACAACUAUAGCCAAUACCUUGUGUAAACCCGGGAGAGACAUUUGGAGCUUGGAAUCCUUGUGAAAAAGCGGCUUGACCAUGAGAAUAAGGCAUAUAUGCUUGCUGCCCUUGUGAAGAAAUAGGCAUAAAAUGAGUGUUUCCUUGGUGCACAUUGCCAUGGGGCAUGAAAUUGGAUGAUCCUUGGCCUUGGUUGCCUCCAAAGCCUUGCUUUCCUCCUUGGUGCAUAUUAGAAACUCCACCUUGAUC
RNAcentral lists this long non-coding RNA (523 nucleotides) under Rosa chinensis. Its description in RNAcentral is "sRNA RchiOBHm_Chr5g0047531". Lineage: Eukaryota; Viridiplantae; Streptophyta; Magnoliopsida; Rosales; Rosaceae. The record is from RNAcentral.